This is a long non-coding RNA of Xiphophorus hellerii (green swordtail), 1236 nucleotides long. RefSeq lists it as uncharacterized. The record is from RefSeq and is a predicted model, not a curated record. Lineage: Eukaryota; Metazoa; Chordata; Actinopteri; Cyprinodontiformes; Poeciliidae. The transcript has 2 exons.
AGAAAUGAUGAGCAAUGAUUUAUGGGUUUGGGUUUAAUAAAGCAAAGAUUGGUAUUUUUGUAACAUCAAAAGUUCAUUUUUGAGGCAAACAGAAAAUCCUGCUUAUUAUAGUUUACUGGGACUAACAACCCCCCGGACAAAUUUGGAAAAAAAUUCAGCUAAAAUGGGUGGUGCUUUAAGGAACAAUGAGACACAGCCUAGUGUGGGGAUAGAUGGUGAGGGGAUAAGCAAGGCUGUAGUAAGCGCCGUUACCAACUUGGUACUUUGUGGUUAUAGUUUUCUCCAAAUUGCGCUUGAAGAAAGUAUGAACAUGGGCAAAACUGAGAAACUCUAUCAAUCAACCAAGUGGACAUUAAAGUAUGUCACCGGAGAUUUGUUCUCCUGUCCACGCGAUGAAUCCUUGGCCCACUGCAUCAGUGAAGACUGUCGCAUGGGAGCAGGCAUAGCGGCGAUGUUCAAGAAGAAGUUUGGUCGAGUCUCAGAGUUAAAGGAGCAGAGUGAGUCAGACUAGUUACUAAAGUCUUUGUUUUGGAAAAAAAUGUUUUAUGUUUUUCCAGUUCAUUCAAAUGUAUGAUUUCAACAGCAAGUGCUAAAUCAUAUCCUGUUUUGUAUUUUUUUGUAUGUCCUAAUAGAGAAGCUUCCGGGGCAGUGUGCUGUCCUGACACAUGAUCAACGUUUCAUCUACUAUCUGGUAAACAUACCACAAUUAUACUGCAUUGGACCAAAAGUUGUUUCAUUAUUUAAUCUGGUAACUGUAUCUUUCCUAUUAUGUGUCUCAGAUCACAAAGAAAAAAGCCAGCCAGAAACCCACGUAUGUCAGCCUAAGACAGAGUCUGGAAGACAUGAAAUCUCACUGCUUAGAAAAUGGUGUCAAUAAGAUAUCAAUACCCCGAAUUGGCUGUGGCCUGGACCAGCUGCAGUGGUCAAAGGUGUCAAAGAUCCUGGAACAGAUCUUUAAAGAGACAAAUAUCUCCAUCACAGUGUACAGCCUGCCCUGUGUUGGGUCAAAGCUUCAAAUGCAUGCCAUGUAGUACAUUUUCAUUUGAGUUUUGUUUUUAACUUUAAGUCCUUUAUAAUCUCUUAAAAUUUUGGAUGAAAUCAACACUCUUUAAACGGUUUUAAGGAAACAAUAAAUAAACAAUAAAAACCUCCCCAUAAGAUGUUUACAUACAAGACUUUUAACAUCCCACUGAUGUAAAAAAAUGAUGUUUCCUGCCAUUAAAGAUACGAAACUUA